Molecule: non-coding RNA, 112 nt
Organism: Butyrivibrio fibrisolvens DSM 3071
Lineage: Bacteria; Bacillati; Bacillota; Clostridia; Lachnospirales; Lachnospiraceae
Source: Rfam
UGACGUAAGGGUCAAAAGUCAUUUUGAUUCGAGCUUGCUCGAAAUCGAAUAUGAAUUUAUGACCCGCCAAAUAUGAGCAAAGUAGCACGUAGUGCGGAUUUGCGACGCGGCA